UACGUAGGGGGCAAGCGUUGUCCGGAAUCAUUGGGCGUAAAGCGCGUGUAGGCGGCUUGGUUAGUCCGUUCUGAAAGCCCGGGGCUCAACCCCGGGAGGCGGAUGGAUACUGUCAAGCUUGAGUCCGGAAGAGGCGAGUGGAAUUCCCGGUGUAGCGGUGAAAUGCGCAGAUAUCGGGAGGAACACCAAUGGCGAAGGCAGCUCGCUGGGACGUGACUGACGCUGAGACGCGAAAGCGUGGGGAGCAAACAGG
Molecule: ribosomal RNA, 253 nt
Filed under: uncultured bacterium
Lineage: Bacteria
Description: partial 16S ribosomal RNA
Rfam family: Bacterial small subunit ribosomal RNA
Source: RNAcentral